GACGAACGCUGGCGGCGUGCUUAACACAUGCAAGUCGAACGGAAAGGCCCUGCUUUUGUGGGGUGCUCGAGUGGCGAACGGGUGAGUAACACGUGAGUAACCUGCCCUUGACUUUGGGAUAACUUCAGGAAACUGGGGCUCAUACCGGAUAGGAGCUCCUGCUGCAUGGUGGGGGUUGGAAAGUUUCGGCGGUUGGGGAUGGACUCGCGGCUUAUCAGCUUGUUGGUGGGGUAGUGGCUUACCAAGGCUUUGACGGGUAGCCGGCCUGAGAGGGUGACCGGCCACAUUGGGACUGAGAUACGGCCCAGACGCCUACGGGAGGCAGCAGUGGGGAAUAUUGCACAAUGGGCGGGAGCCUGAGGCAGCAACGCCGCGUGCGGGAUGACGGCCUUCGGGUUGUAAACCGCUUUCGCAUGUGACGAAGCGUAAGUGACGGUAAUGGGUAAAGAAGCACCGGCUAACUACGUG
Molecule: ribosomal RNA, 468 nt
Filed under: uncultured bacterium
Lineage: Bacteria
Description: partial 16S ribosomal RNA
Rfam family: Bacterial small subunit ribosomal RNA
Source: RNAcentral